CCCUUAGAUGUCCUGGGCCGCACGCGCGUUACACUGAUGCAUUCAACGAGCUUAUAACCUUGGCCGAGAGGCCUGGGCAAUCUUGUUAACGUGCAUCGUGAUAGGGAUAGAUUAUUGAAAUUAUUAAUCUUGAACGAGGAAUUCCUAGUAAACGCAGAUCAUCAAUCUGCAUUGAUUACGUCCCUGCCCUUUGUACACACCGCCCGUCGCACCUACCGAUUGGAUGGUCCGGUGAAGCCUCGGGAUUGUGGUUCUUGCCGCUUUAUUGUGGCGUGACCGCGAGAACUUGUCUAAACCUUAUCAUCUAGAGGAAGGUGAANUCGUAACA
Molecule: ribosomal RNA, 328 nt
Filed under: uncultured eukaryote
Lineage: Eukaryota
Description: partial 18S ribosomal RNA
Rfam family: Eukaryotic small subunit ribosomal RNA
Source: RNAcentral